ACUCCUACGGGAGGCAGCAGUGGGGAAUAUUGCACAAUGGGCGCAAGCCUGAUGCAGCCAUGCCGCGUGUAUGAAGAAGGCCUUCGGGUUGUAAAGUACUUUCAGCGAGGAGGAAGGCAUUGUGGUUAAUAACCACAG
RNAcentral lists this ribosomal RNA (138 nucleotides) under uncultured bacterium. RNAcentral's name for it is "partial 16S ribosomal RNA". It matches the Rfam family "Bacterial small subunit ribosomal RNA", at positions 335 to 475 of the family's 1533-position model. The record is from RNAcentral.